Molecule: long non-coding RNA, 2157 nt
Organism: Peromyscus californicus insignis
Lineage: Eukaryota; Metazoa; Chordata; Mammalia; Rodentia; Cricetidae
Exons: 5
Source: RefSeq, a predicted model, not a curated record
CACAGGAAAGCCUCUGACCUUUUUGGCCUGGCAACCAAAGAUUGAUGCUACCCUGGUACCUCUGCCCUCAAUGUCAUGGAGACCACAGGAGCCUGGGAUGACAAUCUAGGUAAUGGACUAGUUUCUGUCAUUUUAACUGAUACAUAGGCCAUUUGAAUUAUACUUCCUGCUAUAAUUUAUCCUUCUCAGAUCUCUGAUGGUAUUGACCACUAGGCUAACUUUGUCAGCUUAGCAGCAUCAGGCAACCAGGUUCUUCCCCAACACUGCAUCCACCUUGUUAGCUCAUUUCAUAUGUAAAAAUUAAGUCUUGCCUUUUCUAGAGCUACUAGGUAUCCUGUUGAGUAAAAGCAGACAGGUUUGCCUUGCAAACAGGCUUCAUAUUAAAAGAUAAACAGGUUUCAGAUAUAACUUUCCAUUAAAGGAACAUGAUUUGAAAUGAUUGUUUUCAGUAAUGAAUACUUGUGUAUCUGGUAAAUGAUUAGCUGGAAGGAAAAAAGGUUAAACUCUAUGUAAGUUUUGAGGUCCUAAGAAAAUGUUUUAAGAUAUAUAAAGGUCUGAGAAUGUGAAAGCUUAAGUUCUGAGGGUCUCACAAAAUGAUUUAAGAUGUAAAUGCAAGUUGUAAAGGUAUAAAUAAGUGAUUUAAAAUAUAUGAAAAUGGGUAAUGUUUCAGACUUCUUUCUCUUUCUAUGCUAUUGUUACACUAAGAUUUCAAAAUUUCAGAGUUUUAGCAUUGAUCAAUGGAGUUCUGAUAAGCUGGUAGAACACUAACCACUUACUGUUUAGUCACAAGCUCAAGAUUUUAAAUUUCCUUUGGUUGCCUUCUAAUAUACACUUGAAAGUGCUUAUUAUUAGUCCAAAGACAUCUCUGUCCAAUCUAUAUCUAUCUGUCUGAACAGAGGGAAAAAAUGUUCAUGCUUUUUCACCCAAAUCUGUAGCUUUUGCUAGGACUCAAAGGUGUGACUCUGAUCCAGCUGUUUUAUAGACACCUAUUAUCUGAUUUUUCUACAAUGUGGAUUUCAGUACAGAUUGGUUAUACUAAUAAUAUAUCUAAAACUUUUAUGUCUUUUGUAAACUAAAAAUUCAUGUAAGCUUCAGAGGAUCUAGGCAAUCACAAAACUUGGAUCCAUCUCUCACAGGUCAAAAGGACUCCAGGUAAGUACAGCCUAAGUUUCCCCUCCUGUCUAUUCCCCUCCUGAGGAUGGUACCUUUCUCUCUCUUGGAACUCCUCCCCUCCCCCAACUACUAGGACUAUGGACCUGAACAUUCCAAAUGUAAUAUUUUCCUUUAAGUUCUUUCAACUUCUGUUUCUAGUCUAUAUCUGCCUCCGCUGAUUUUUCACUUGGCUGACAGACAACAUCCAAACAUCAUUUGCUGACUACAACCUGUUCCAAAUGACUGUGAACCUUGGACUUGCAGAAGGCUGAUGUGGACCAGUCCAGCCAACGUGAAUGCUCUGUCUCGUCAGCUGGCAGGGGCAGAACUGGAUUUCCACAUCCGUCCAGGUUGCAUCUGGUGGAAGGGGCCUGCCUUCCUGCAGGCCAGGACAGAGAUGGCAAGGUCCAAGAUUGGAGGGAGUUGAGGUCCUAUGAGUGCUCAGCUCACUAUGACAGCCAACUGAAGUGACACCUGUGGAUCUCUUGGGACCCUAGAAAUGCCUUUCUCCGAGCUGCGGAGACUACAUUCGCCACAAUGGAUUCCUGGAUGCUCCUAGGUCUGAAGGCAUCAUCCACUAGACCAAGAGGAGACUUGGAUGCUGCUUCCCAAGCUCGAUCCUGUACGAUCUGGAAAGCCCCAUUCCCGUCUCACCCUCCAAUCCCUGCCAGCUCAGAGUCUCCCGAAGAAAGGAAAGGCGCCAAAAAACCCAGUUCAGCAUUCUUGACGGCUACCGCAGCUUCCUGCCCUGAAGUUGCCAGCUGCCGGAGUCCCCAUCUAAAGCGCUCAGCUUUUGACCAUCCUUGGGCACAAACCCGGCUUGUGGAGGAUACAGCAUCCCCCUCUCCCCUACAACGUAUAAAGUCUCUCUGCUCCGUUUGUGGACUCAGCUUCUCCAGCCUUGAUGUCUGGGACUGGAGAACUCAUGUGGGAGUUGCUUUGCUCAAAUAAACCUGUUGUUACACUUUUUCAAUAGGGCUUGAUCUGGCUUACUGCUUUGGUGAA